AUACGGAGGAUCCGAGCGUUAUCCGGAUUUAUUGGGUUUAAAGGGUGCGCAGGCGGGAGAUUAAGUCGGCGGUGAAAUUUUGCAGCUCAACUGUAAAAGUGCCUUCGAAACUGGUUUCCUUGAGUGUAGAUGAAGUAGGCGGAAUUUGUGGUGUAGCGGGGAAAUGCAUAGAUAUCACGAAGAACGCCGAUUGCGCAGGCAGCUUACUAAACUACUACUGACGCUCAGGCACGAAGGCGUGGGGAUCAAACAGGAUUAGAUACCCUGGUAGUCCACGCAGUAAACGAUGAUUACUAGCUGUUUGCGAUACAAUGUAAGCGGCUGAGCGAAAGCGUUAAGUAAUCCACCUGGGGAGUACGUUCGCAAGAAUGAAACUCAAAUGAAUUGACGGGG
This 393-nucleotide ribosomal RNA is filed under the name uncultured bacterium. RNAcentral's name for it is "partial 16S ribosomal RNA". It matches the Rfam family "Bacterial small subunit ribosomal RNA", at positions 523 to 918 of the family's 1533-position model. The record is from RNAcentral.